UGGUGGAGUGAUUUGUCUGCUUAAUUGCGAUAACGAACGAGACCUUAACCUGCUAAAUAGCCCGUAUUGCUCAGGCAGUACGCUGGCUUCUUAGAGGGACUAUCGGCUCAAGCCGAUGGAAGUUUGAGGCAAUAACA
RNAcentral lists this ribosomal RNA (137 nucleotides) under uncultured eukaryote. RNAcentral describes it as "partial 18S ribosomal RNA". It matches the Rfam family "Eukaryotic small subunit ribosomal RNA", at positions 1299 to 1458 of the family's 1831-position model. The record is from RNAcentral.